This 497-nucleotide ribosomal RNA is filed under the name uncultured bacterium. RNAcentral describes it as "partial 16S ribosomal RNA". It matches the Rfam family "Bacterial small subunit ribosomal RNA", at positions 28 to 507 of the family's 1533-position model. The record is from RNAcentral.
GAUGAACGCUGGCGGCGUGCCUAAUACAUGCAAGUCGAGCGGACGGACGAGGAGCUUGCUUCUCUGAUGUUAGCGGCGGACGGGUGAGUAACACGUGGAUACCCUACCUAUAAGACUGGGAUCACUUCGGGAAACCGGCGCUAAUCCCGGAUGAUAUUUUGCACCGCAUUGUUCAAUGGUGAAAGACGGUCUUGGUGUCACUUAUAGCUGGAUCCGCGCUGCAUUAGCUAGUUGGUAAGGUAACCGCUUACCAAGGCAACGAUGCAUAGCCGACCGGAGAGAGGGAUCGCCGACACUGGAACUGAGACGCCGACCUUACGCCUAAGGGAGGCAGCAGUAGGGAAUCUGCCGCAGUGGGCGGAAGCCUGACGGAGCAACGCCGCGUGAGUUAUGAAGGCCUUCGGAUCGUAAAACUGGGUUAUUAGGUAUGAACAGCUUUGUCAGUAACUGUGCACAGCGUGACGGUACCGAAUCAGAAAGCCACGGCUAACUACGUG